UACGGGGGGGGCAAGCGUUGUUCGGAAUUAUUGGGCGUAAAGGGCUCGCAGGCGGUCUGUCGCGUCGAAAGUGAAAACCCAGGGCUUAACCCUGGGCCUGCUUCCGAUACGGGCAGACUAGAGGUAUGCAGGGGAGAACGGAAUUCCUGGUGUAGCGGUGAAAUGCGCAGAUAUCAGGAGGAACACCAAUGGCGAAGGCAGCUCGCUGGGACGGUAUUGACGCUGAGACGCGAAAGCGUGGGGAGCAAACAGG
This 253-nucleotide ribosomal RNA is filed under the name uncultured bacterium. Its description in RNAcentral is "partial 16S ribosomal RNA". It matches the Rfam family "Bacterial small subunit ribosomal RNA", at positions 524 to 776 of the family's 1533-position model. The record is from RNAcentral.